GACGAACGCUGGCGGCGUGCCUAAUACAUGCAAGUAGAACGCUGAAGAGAGGAGCUUGCUCUUCUUGGAUGAGUUGCGAACGGGUGAGUAACGCGUAGGUAACCUGCCUUGUAGCGGGGGAUAACUAUUGGAAACGAUAGCUAAUACCGCAUAACAAUGGAUGGCCUAUGUCAUUUAUUUGAAAGGGGCAAAUGCUCCACUACAAGAUGGACCUGCGUUGUAUUAGCUAGUAGGUGAGGUAACGGCUCACCUAGGCGACGAUACAUAGCCGACCUGAGAGGGUGAUCGGCCACACUGGGACUGAGACACGGCCCAGACUCCUACGGGAGGCAGCAGUAGGGAAUCUUCGGCAAUGGGGGCAACCCUGACCGAGCAACGCCGCGUGAGUGAAGAAGGUUUU
This 400-nucleotide ribosomal RNA is filed under the name Streptococcus salivarius. RNAcentral describes it as "bacterial SSU rRNA". It matches the Rfam family "Bacterial small subunit ribosomal RNA", at positions 28 to 418 of the family's 1533-position model. The record is from RNAcentral. Lineage: Bacteria; Bacillati; Bacillota; Bacilli; Lactobacillales; Streptococcaceae.